GUGCCAGCAGCCGCGGUAAUACGAACUGUGCAAACGUUAUUCGGAUUCACUGGGCUUAAAGGGUGCGUAGGCGGCUUGCCAAGUAGGGUGUGAAAGCCCCCGGCUUAACCGGGGAAUUGCGCCCUAAACUGGCGAGCUGGAGUGAGAUAGGGGUGUGUGGAACUUCCGGUGGAGCGGUGAAAUGUGUUGAUAUCGGAAGGAACGCCGGUGGCGAAAGCGACACACUGGGUCUCAACUGACGCUGAGGCACGAAAGCCAGGGGAGCGAACGGGAUUAGAAACCCCGGUAGUCC
Molecule: ribosomal RNA, 292 nt
Filed under: uncultured bacterium
Lineage: Bacteria
Description: partial 16S ribosomal RNA
Rfam family: Bacterial small subunit ribosomal RNA
Source: RNAcentral